Molecule: transfer RNA, 91 nt
Filed under: Blastochloris viridis
Lineage: Bacteria; Pseudomonadati; Pseudomonadota; Alphaproteobacteria; Hyphomicrobiales; Blastochloridaceae
Description: tRNA-Glu
Source: RNAcentral
GCGCAGGGCGUGUCGCGCCGGGUGGUCGACGCCGCCUUCGCCGGCGUGGCCGAGGACGCCGCGGUGCUGGCGUUCGACCGUCGCCAGCGCG